AGAGUUUGAUCAUGGCUCAGGAUAAACGCUGGCGGCGUGCAUGAGACAUGCAAGUCAUACGGACGAUCAGGGCUUGCUCUGGUCGUUAGUGGCGGACGGCUGAGUAACGCGUAGGUGACCUGCCCCGAAGUGGGGAAUAACUGCCCGAAAGGGUGGCUAAUACCGCAUGUGGUGGUGCGUUCAUUCGCACCAGUAAAGCCGCAAGGCGCUUCGGGAGGGGCCUGCGUCCGAUUAGCUCGUUGGUGGGGUAACGGCUCACCAAGGCGACGAUCGGUAGGUGGUCUGAGAGGACGAUCACCCAGACUGGGACUGAGACACGGCCCAGACUCCUACGAGAGGCAGCAGUCGGGAAUUUUGCGCAAUGGGCGAAAGCCUGACGCAGCAACGCCGCGUGAGGGAUGAAGGCCUUCGGGUUGUAAACCUCUUUUCUCAGGGAAGAUAAUGACGGUACCUGAGGAAUAAGCCACGGCUAACUACGUGCCAGCAGCCGCGGUAAUACGUAGGUGGCAAGCGUUGUCCGGAUUUACUGGGCGUAAAGAGCGCGCAGGCGGUCGUUCAAGUCGAGUGUGAAAGCCCCCGGCUCAACUGGGGAGAGUCACUCGAUACUGAUCGACUCGAAGGCGGGAGAGGGAAGCGGAAUUCCCGGUGUAGUGGUGAAAUGCGUAGAUAUCGGGAGGAACACCAGUGGCGAAGGCGGCUUCCUGGCCCGUUCUUGACGCUGAGGCGCGAAAGCUAGGGGAGCAAACGGGAUUAGAUACCCCGGUAGUCCUAGCCGUAAACGAUGGACACUAGGUGUUGGUGGUAUCAACCCCGCCAGUGCCGAAGCUAACGCAUUAAGUGUCCCGCCCGGGGAGUACGGCCGCAAGGCUAAAACUCAAAGGAAUUGACGG
RNAcentral lists this ribosomal RNA (890 nucleotides) under uncultured bacterium. RNAcentral describes it as "bacterial SSU rRNA". It matches the Rfam family "Bacterial small subunit ribosomal RNA", at positions 8 to 916 of the family's 1533-position model. The record is from RNAcentral.